Molecule: transfer RNA, 69 nt
Filed under: Urochela quadrinotata (four-spotted shield-bug)
Lineage: Eukaryota; Metazoa; Arthropoda; Insecta; Hemiptera; Urostylididae
Description: tRNA-Val
Source: RNAcentral
CAGACUAUGCUAAUAGAGGUAUUCAUUAUUUACAUUAAUGAAUUAUUUGUGCAAUUCAAAUUAGUUUGA